RNAcentral lists this ribosomal RNA (1245 nucleotides) under metagenome. RNAcentral describes it as "bacterial LSU rRNA". It matches the Rfam family "Bacterial large subunit ribosomal RNA", at positions 1564 to 2818 of the family's 2925-position model. The record is from RNAcentral.
UGAGUACGAGAUGCUACGGCAUCGAAGCAGUCUAUGUCAUACUUCCAAGAAAAGCUUGCACUGUCAAAAACAAAUAAUGCCUGUACCAUAACCGACACAGGUGGGUAGGUAGAGUAUACUAAGGGGCGCGAGAUAACUCUCUCUAAGGAACUCGGCAAAAUGACUCCGUAACUUCGGGAGAAGGAGUGCCUUAUUUAUAAGGUUGCAAUAACAAGAUCCAAGCAACUGUUUACCAAAAACACAGGUCUCCGCGAAGUCGUAAGACGAUGUAUGGGGGCUGACGCCUGCCCAGUGCCAGAAGGUUAAAGAAGUUGGUUAGCACUCGCGAAGCUGAUAACUGAAGCCCUGGUGAACGGCGGCCGUAACGAUAACGGUCCUAAGGUAGCGAAAUUCCUUGUCGGGUAAGUUCCGACCCGCACGAAAGGCGUAAUGAUUUGGAUACUGUCUCGGAGAGGGGCUCGGUGAAAUAGACUUGUCUGUGAAGAUGCGGACUACCUGCACCUGGACAGAGAGACCCUAUGAAGCUUUACUGUAACUUGAAAUUGAAAUUGGACUUUAUUUGCGCAGUAUAGGUGGGAGGCAUUGAGAAUAAUCUUGCGGGAUUAUUGGAGCCAUCAGUGAGAUACCACUCUUGUAAUGUUAGAUUUCUAACUUUGUAUCAUUAUCUGGUCAAAGAACAGUUUCAGGCGGGCAGUUUGACUGGGGCGGUCGCCUCCCAAACGGUAACGGAGGCGCACAAAGGUUUCCUCUGAACGGGUAGAAAUCGUAUCUAGAGUGUAAAGGCAUAAGGAAGCUUGACUGUGAGACCUACGAGUCGAGCAGGGACGAAAGUCGGUCUUAGUGAUCUGACGGUGCUGAGUGGAAAGGCCGUCACUCAACGGAUAAAAGUUACUCUAAGGAUAACAGGCUGAUCUCCCCCAAGAGUUCACAUCGACGGGGAGGUUUGGCACCUCGAUGUCGGCUCAUCGCAUCCUGGGGCGGUAGUACGUCCCAAGGGUUGGGCUGUUCGCCCAUGAAAGCGGUACGCGAGCUGGGUUCAGAACGUCGUGAGACAGUUCGGUCCAUAUCCGGUGUAGGCGUUAGAAUAUUGAGAGGAGCCUUCUCUAGUACGAGAGGACCGAGAAGGACAUACCUCUGGUGUACCAGUUAUCGUGCCAACGGUAAACGCUGGGUAGCUAUGUGUGGAGUGGAUAACCGCUGAAAGCAUCUAAGUGGGAAGCCCACCUCAAGAUAAGUAUUCUCACC